UACGUAGGGUGCAAGCGUUGUCCGGAAUUAUUGGGCGUAAAGAGCUCGUAGGCGGCUUGUCGCGUCUGCCGUGAAAUCCUCAGGCUCAACCUGAGGCGUGCGGUGGGUACGGGCAAGCUAGAGUGCGGUAGGGGAGAUUGGAACUCCUGGUGUAGCGGUGGAAUGCGCAGAUAUCAGGAAGAACACCGAUGGCGAAGGCAGAUCUCUGGGCCGUAACUGACGCUGAGGAGCGAAAGCAUGGGGAGCGAACAGG
RNAcentral lists this ribosomal RNA (253 nucleotides) under uncultured bacterium. Its description in RNAcentral is "partial 16S ribosomal RNA". It matches the Rfam family "Bacterial small subunit ribosomal RNA", at positions 524 to 776 of the family's 1533-position model. The record is from RNAcentral.